This 600-nucleotide ribosomal RNA is filed under the name uncultured bacterium. RNAcentral describes it as "bacterial SSU rRNA". It matches the Rfam family "Bacterial small subunit ribosomal RNA", at positions 90 to 699 of the family's 1533-position model. The record is from RNAcentral.
GACGAGCGGCGGACGGGUGAGUAUGCUAGAUCUGCCCGAUUAGUUGGGAUACCUGGGGAAACCCAGGCUAAUACCGCAUACGUCCUACGGGAGGAAGGGGCUCCGGCUCCGCUAUGGGAUGAGCCUAUGUCGGAUUAGCUAGUUGGUGAGGUAACGGCUCACCAAGGCGACGAUCCGUACUGUCUGAAGGAUGAUCAGCACAUCGGGACUGAACACGGCCGAACUCCUACGGGAGGCAGCAGUGGGGAAUAUUGGACAAUGGGCGAAAGCCUGAUCCAGCCAUGCCGCGUGUGUGAAGAAGGCCCUCGGGUUGUAAAGCACUUUCAGCGAGGAAGAACGCCUACGGUUAAUACCCGCUAGGAAAGACAUCACUCGCAAAAAAGCACCGGUAACUCCGUGCCAGCAGCCGGGUAAUACGGAGGGNUGCAAGCGUUAUCGGAAUUACUGGGGCGUAAAGCGCGCGUAGGUGUUUGAUAACCGGGUUGUAACCCCCGGGGCUCAACCUUGGGAACGGGCUUCCGGGAACUUGUCAAGCUAGAAGUUGCCGGAGAGGGAAGGGUUAAUUCCCCCGGUUGUNCGGUUGAAAUUGCGUUGAGAUCG